CCGUAAGGUGGAGCUAAUCCCUUAAAGCUACUCUCAGUUCGGAUUGUAGGCUGAAACUCGCCUACAUGAAGCUGGAGUUACUAGUAAUCGCAGAUCAGAAUGCUGCGGUGAAUGCGUUCCCGGGUCUUGUACACACCGCCCGUCACACCACGGGAGUUGGAGACGCCCGAAGCCGAUUAUCUAACCUUUUGGAAGAAGUCGUCGAAGGUGGAAUCAAUAACUGGGGUGAAGUCGUAACAAGGUAGCCGUAUCGGAAGGUGCGGCUGGAUC
This 270-nucleotide ribosomal RNA is filed under the name Clostridioides difficile. RNAcentral describes it as "partial 16S ribosomal RNA". It matches the Rfam family "Bacterial small subunit ribosomal RNA", at positions 1255 to 1524 of the family's 1533-position model. Lineage: Bacteria; Bacillati; Bacillota; Clostridia; Peptostreptococcales; Peptostreptococcaceae. The record is from RNAcentral.